CUGCAUUCCCAGGCAUUAGGUAUUCAAAGUCACAGAAUGAGAUAGGAGGUCAGCACAAGGUACAGGUCAUAAAAACCUUGCUAAUUAAACAGGUUGCAGUAAAGAAGUUAACGAAUCCUACCAAAACCGAGAUGGCAACAAGAGUGACCUGGUCAUCCUCACUGCUCAUUAUAUGCUAAUUAUAAUGCAUUAGCAUACUAAAAGACACUCCCACCGGCUCCAUGACAGUUUACAGAUGCCACGGCAACAGUGAAGAAGUUCCCCUAUAUAGUCUAAAAAGGGGAGGAAACCUCAGCUCUAGAAAUUGCCCAUGCCUCUCUGGAAAACUCAUGAAUAAUCCACCCCCUGUUUAGCAUAACAUCAAGAAAUAACUAUAAGUAUCCUCAGUCCAGCAGCCCAUGCUGCUGCUCUGCCUAUGGAGUAGCCAUUUCUAAUUCUUUACUUUGUUCGUUAACUUGUUUUCACUUUACUUUAUGGACUCGCUCCAAAUUCUUUCUUGCACCAGAUCCAAGAACCGUCUCCUGGGGUCUGGAUUAGGACCCCUUUCCAGUAACAUUAAUAUUUUAUUCAUGUUCUAUCCAUAGCCUUGCACAGUGUCUGGCACAAGUAGGCAAUCAAUAAAACUUUUGUUCAAUAAAUAAGAACUCUGUGACAUGAGCUCAUUAUUUGUUCCCUUGUGUAGAUGAGGUAGACCCGCAGCCAGGUUUGACUUCUUGCACUGUUACCAAGCAAUCGAAUGGCUCAUUUCCUGACGUGCAUAGAAGCCAGUACCACAGCACCAGCUUUUGAGAAAAGAAAAGCUUUAUUGGAAGUUGACUAGAAAGGAGACCAAAGGAAAUGCUCAAAUCUGUCUCCCUGAGCUUGGGGCUGUGGGGUUUUAUAAGCACAGGGUAAUAAGGCAAGAUCUGAUGGGGUCUUGCAAUGACAUGAUGCUGGGAGGCAUGAUCUGAUUGGAUCCUGCCAUGGAGUGACACCAGGGCUCAAUCUGAUUGGAUCUUGGAUCCUGUCAUGUGGUGUCCGCUUCUGAAUUCAGUCCUGCUCCUCCGCCAAAGCACUUAGGUUCUGCCUGUGGGUGGAUGCUUGGUCCAUAGGCGCAUGCACAGGGUAUGUGACCUUCAACCUGGGGGCAGCCCAUGGCAACUGAAAAACAACUGGCAACUUUGUUACAUAAAAGCCGAGCCAGGGGGCCGGGCGCGGUGGCUCAAGCCUGUAAUCCCAGCACUUUGGGAGGCCGAGACGGGCGGAUCACGAGGUCAGGAGAUCGAGACCAUCCCGGCUAACACGGUGAAACCCCGUCUCUACUAAAAAAUACAAAAAACUAGCCGGGCGAGGUGGCGAGCAACUGUAGUCCCAGCUACUCGGGAGGCUGAGGCGGAGAAUGGCGUGAACCCGGGAGGCGGAGCUUGCAGUGAGCUGAGAUCCGGCCACUGCACUCCAGCCUGGGCGACAGAGCGAGACUCUGUCUCAAAAAAAAAAAAAAAAAAAAA
Molecule: long non-coding RNA, 1487 nt
Filed under: Macaca fascicularis (crab-eating macaque)
Lineage: Eukaryota; Metazoa; Chordata; Mammalia; Primates; Cercopithecidae
Description: lncRNA (ENSMFAG00000058358.1)
Source: RNAcentral